This 632-nucleotide ribosomal RNA is filed under the name Nebria przewalskii. Its description in RNAcentral is "partial large subunit ribosomal RNA". It matches the Rfam family "Bacterial large subunit ribosomal RNA", at positions 1829 to 2733 of the family's 2925-position model. The record is from RNAcentral. Lineage: Eukaryota; Metazoa; Arthropoda; Insecta; Coleoptera; Carabidae.
GUCCUUUAGAAUUUGAUUUAAGGUCUAGCCUGCCCACUGAAUUAUUUUAAAUGGCCGCAGUAAUUUGACUGUGCAAAGGUAGCAUAAUCAUUAGUUUUUUAAUUAAAAGCUUGAAUGAAGGGUUGGACGAAGUAAAAUCUGUCUCUAAUUAAUUUAAUUUAGAAUUUAACUUUUAAGUCAAAAGGCUUAAAUUUCAUUAAAAGACGAGAAGACCCUAUAGAUCUUUAUAAUUUAUUUAUUAAUUUUAAUUAAGAAUUUUUUAAAUUUUAUUAUUAUAAUUAUUUUAUUGGGGUAAUGUAAAGAUUUAUACAAUUCUUUUUUAUUAUUAACAUUAAUGUAUGUAUUUAUGAUCCAAUUAUAUUGAUUAUAAGAUUAAGUUACCUUAGGGAUAACAGCGUAAUUUUUUUAGAGAGUUCUUAUCGAUAAAAAAGUUUGCGACCUCGAUGUUGGAUUAAAGAUUAUUUCAGGUGCAGAAGUUUGAAAAAUUUGGUCUGUUCGACCAUUAAAUCUUUACAUGAUCUGAGUUCAGACCGGCGUAAGCCAGGUCGGUUUCUAUCUUUAAUAAAUUAAAAUAUUUUAGUACGAAAGGACCAAUUAUUUAAUAUAAAAUAUUUAAAUUUUGAUUAUUAAUA